This 546-nucleotide small RNA is filed under the name Pongo abelii (Sumatran orangutan). Its description in RNAcentral is "retained intron". Lineage: Eukaryota; Metazoa; Chordata; Mammalia; Primates; Hominidae. The record is from RNAcentral.
UACAUAGAAUACUUGGGUGACAUCUGCCUGAGAGAUCUCCAAGAAUUACAGAAGACAAAAAUACUAAUGCAUUUGAGAAAGCGGUAGUUUUGGGGGGAGGGGUAAAAAGCAACUGCUUUCCUGAUCUGCAACUUGGCUGGAUGCUAAGAUGUCAGUGGACAUGAAUAGCCAGGGGUCUGACAGCAAUGAAGAGGACUAUGACCCAAAUUGUGAGGAAGAGGAAGAAGAAGAAGAUGAAGACCCUGGGGACAUAGAGGACUAUUACGUGGGAGUAGCCAGCGAUGUGGAGCAGCAGGGGGCUGAUGCCUUUGAUCCCGAGGAGUACCAGUUCACUUGCUUGACCUACAAGGAAUCUGAGGGUGCCCUCAAUGAGCACAUGACCAGCUUAGCUUCUGUCCUAAAGGUGAGCAGUGUUGUAAACUCCAGUGUAAUCCCCCCCAGUUAAAUCUAAGGAUGAGCUGUUGUUAAUUAAUGUCUCCUCCAGACUAAUUGAAUGGCCUUGUAGCUUGAAACCAAAUUUAAGUGUAUGUCAACAUCAUUUGGACA